RNAcentral lists this ribosomal RNA (579 nucleotides) under Triticum aestivum (bread wheat). RNAcentral's name for it is "partial small subunit ribosomal RNA". Lineage: Eukaryota; Viridiplantae; Streptophyta; Magnoliopsida; Poales; Poaceae. The record is from RNAcentral.
AUGUGGACCCGUCUUCGUGAGCGCUAUCAGCCCUCUGGUGAUGCCUUAUACCUUUCUGUGGUCCGUCAGGAGCAUGCUCUUCAGCAGGGUGACUCUACUGUUGAUGACUUCUAUGCACAGAGUUCUGCUAUCUGGCGCCAGCUUGAUUCUCUCCGCAGUGCUGGUUGUCGUACCUGCCCCUGUUGCCAGGCUGUCUAGGCCAAUUUGGAGUUUCAUCGCGUCUAUGAGUUCCUGUCUCGGCUCCGUAAGGAGUUUGAGCCCCGGCGUGCUCAGUUGUUUGCUCGUGGCCGUAUUUCUCUCAUGGAGGCGCUUUCUGAGAUUCGUGCUGAGGAGACUCGCUUACGUGGUGCUGGUUUGCUGGAGGUUCCCUCUAUGCUCGCUACUCGUGCUCCUACGCCACCUGCUGCACCGACCCCUUCUCGCUCGAGUGCUCCGCCGCUCUUGCCCACUCCUUCUGGAGGCUCAGGUCGCCGUCCACAUUGCGACUAUUGCAACAAUGAUGGUCAUCUUGAGUCUCAGUGCUACACGAAGAAGAAACACCUGCGCAAGGCGCAAUCAUCAUCUUCAGGGACUUCGUCA